GGCUGGAUAGCUCAGUGGUUAGAGCAUCUGGGAUUUCAUCAGAAGAUCCUGGGUUCAAUUCCCAGUCUGGACA
RNAcentral lists this transfer RNA (73 nucleotides) under Collybiopsis luxurians FD-317 M1. Its description in RNAcentral is "Gymnopus luxurians FD-317 M1 tRNA". It matches the Rfam family "tRNA". Rfam says of the family: Transfer RNA (tRNA) molecules are approximately 80 nucleotides in length. Their secondary structure includes four short double-helical elements and three loops (D, anti-codon, and T loops). The record is from Rfam by way of RNAcentral. Lineage: Eukaryota; Fungi; Basidiomycota; Agaricomycetes; Agaricales; Omphalotaceae.